Small nucleolar RNA from Sarcophilus harrisii (Tasmanian devil), 91 nucleotides. Ensembl annotates it as small nucleolar RNA, C/D box 12C. The record is from Ensembl. Lineage: Eukaryota; Metazoa; Chordata; Mammalia; Dasyuromorphia; Dasyuridae.
GCCGGUGCACGUGAUGACCCGACUUUUUUCCCCGUCAGAUCGGCCUUGCUGAUAGCUCUGAGUUUCUGCCAGUUAUUUCUGAGGCACCGGC